Molecule: ribosomal RNA, 253 nt
Filed under: uncultured bacterium
Lineage: Bacteria
Description: partial 16S ribosomal RNA
Rfam family: Bacterial small subunit ribosomal RNA
Source: RNAcentral
UACGUAGGGUCCAAGCGUUGUCCGGAAUUAUUGGGCGUAAAGAGCUCGUAGGCGGUCUGUUGCGUCGGUUGUGAAAACCUGGGGCUCAACUCCAGGCCUGCAAUCGAUACGGGCAGACUAGAGUUCGGUAGGGGAGACUGGAAUUCCUGGUGUAGCGGUGAAAUGCGCAGAUAUCAGGAGGAACACCGGUGGCGAAGGCGGGUCUCUGGGCAGUAACUGACGCUGAGGAGCGAAAGCGUGGGGAGCGAACAGG